GCCGCUGUAGCUCAGCGGAUAGAGCCCCACUUUGACGAUGGUCGUGGGUUCGAAUCCCACCAGUGGCA
Molecule: transfer RNA, 68 nt
Filed under: Actinomycetota bacterium
Lineage: Bacteria; Bacillati; Actinomycetota
Description: Actinobacteria bacterium tRNA-Ser
Rfam family: tRNA
About the family: Transfer RNA (tRNA) molecules are approximately 80 nucleotides in length.
Source: RNAcentral